Molecule: long non-coding RNA, 2769 nt
Filed under: Lathyrus oleraceus (garden pea)
Lineage: Eukaryota; Viridiplantae; Streptophyta; Magnoliopsida; Fabales; Fabaceae
Description: Pisum sativum (pea) long non-coding RNA (PSAT_LNC021856)
Source: RNAcentral
UUUUUUUUUGUAAAUUCCUAUUAUUCUUCAAGUGGAUGAUAAUCCUAAGAUUUAUAAGGACGUAGUAACUUCCACUACUAUAAAAAAUACAUCUAACGUCAGACACGAAAUGCAUUUAACCUCGGUUACUUAAGCGAUGUAACAAUGACAUCGUGUAAAAAUACCACUUUACCCCUCGGUUAUUAGAAAACUGAGGGGUAACACUAUCUGCACAUGGGAUUGAUGUCCAACAUUUUCAUUUUUUAUUAUUUUCAGAACAUGAUGGUGCAUCCAAUAUUAACUCCCGAUGUUGUAUAGAAUCGAGGUAAUAUCUAUAUGUUAUUACCUCAAUUUUUUGAAAAAAAUGAGGAUAUAAGUUUUUUUUAGUACUAUCGUAUGCACUUGUAUUACAAAACGUAUUACUGAAUAUAGAGCUAUAUUUUGCAGAUUCCGGAAACAUAAGUAUUGUACAUAUUGUCAAUUUCUCAAUCUAAAACAUUGUACCCCUAAUAUUCACUGUUAACACAAAAUUCAAGUCUAAAAUGGCACAUACUUUAUAUUUUUUCAGCAAAACAAAAAUAAAUGAUUAACCAACAAAAGCAAUAACCAAAAUGGAAGGUUUUGUAGGUUGUCCAAUAGGAUUUGUCACUGAUCGUUAAGCCCUUAUAAUUUGAACAACAUUUGAAACCAAUUAGGAUAAUCAAUAUCAACUUUAAAUCUAAAGUACAAGGAAUAAAAAAGAGUAAAAUGAAUAAUUAUGAAUUACUAAGUGAUAUAAAAUAUUUACUUACUAAUUUUCUCAUAUCCCUUUUUUAUGAUCACAGUGAAUAACAUGCAUAUCAUCUGAAUCAUUUUAUUCAGAUGAUUGGCGUACAUGUGUUUCUAAACAAGGGGCUUAUACUUAAAAUCUUUAUUUUCAUCAGUACUAUUAGGAAGAUGUUUUCAUUGAAGAACAAUUGAUCAUCUAGUGCUAGCAGAAUCAGUGUCAUAAAAAACUUAAUUUGCUUUGAUUUCCAUGAUGAAUGGUUCGUUCCUAUAAGUUGCCUUUCAAAAAUCAACCUGUGUGAAUCCUAAUUCAUCGGUUUCUACAUCAAUGUUACUGUCAAUCCACUUGCACUUAAAUAAAGACACUUUAGAAAAGUACAUGAUUCUAUAUUCUAGUACAUGAUUGUUAUCUAUGGAACUAGAAAAGUACAUGGAUUCAUCCUUAACCAUAACCCCACUAUUUUGCAUGAUGCUAUGAUCAUCCUUUGAUUUUAUACAGAAUGAAUAUUUAGUAAUGUCGUAGGCACUCCAAGUAAUUACAUUAAACUUAGGCAUAUGUGACAACCAUUGAAUUGUAUCUGAUGAGCUACUAUCUUUAUAAACACUUUCAUUAAACCAAUUUAUGAAGGUUUCUUAUACUCCAACAAUAACCAUCUUUCAUUCAUCUGGGGGAAUUUUUCCUUUAUAAGACUCUUGUGAGCGGUCAAGUAAGGUUGAACUUCAGUGAGGUUAUUCAAUAUAUACAAAUGUGCUUGAAGAACUACAUCUCGGUCAAAUUUCUUAACAUUUAAAACUUGAAUACCUCUACCAUCAUCCAUCCAUCAUGACGAGACUCAAGAACUACAUCUCGGUUAGAUUUCUUAACAUUUAAACCUUGAAUACCUUGAAUACAUCUACCAUCAUUUCUAUAGAGUUCACUUAUGACAAAUAGUUUGUAUAAAACUCAAUAGAUUCUUCUGUGAUGUACUUGUAUACAAUUGAAGCUUCCGAACGAUCAUGAUUCUUUGUAUAUCCUUUAAAAAUCUUCAUGUAACACUCUAUCAGAUACAUCUGUUGUAAAUAAACUGGAUCACAAAUUCUAAUCUCCCUUACUAGAUGAACAACUAAGUGAACCAUAAUGUCUAAGAAUGCUGGAGGGAAAAACAUCUCUAAUUGGCACAAGAUAAUUGUGGCUUCAUGUUCUAAGUCGUCUAAAUUUCCAUGAUCAAUAACUUGACUACAUAAAGCAUUAAAGAAUAAGCAUAAUCUGAUGAGAUUUACCAUUACAUUUCUUGGUAAAGUGCCACGAGUAGCCACUAGUAGAAGUUGUUGCAUCAAGACAUAAGAAUCAUGAGAUUUAAGCAAACUAACUUGAUAUCAUUCAUUAUCAUAACUUUCUUUACAUUUUAUGAGUACCAUUGGGGAACUUUUAUACCCUGCAAACAUUCUCAAAAACUUUUUUUCUUUUUUAGACAGAGUGUGACAUGCUAGGGGAAAAUAGGUUUUAUUUCCUAUUUCUUUUGGGGAAAAUAGGUUCUUUUAUACCCUAUAAUCAUUACAACAUGUAUGUAUUCUGACAUAGUCCAAACCCAUUGGACACAAUAUCUUAUUGGUCUCAUAACCACGGUUCAACAAUGUGUUACCUUCGGGAAGCAUUUCUUUAAACAAUUCAAGCAAUUUAGUGAAACUUUUAUCCAUCCACCCACCUCUUUCCUUAAGAUUAAAUAGUCUUAACACAACUGACAUUCUUGUAAAACUUUUACAUACCGGAUACAACGAAUCUUCCAUGCAUCUUAAAAAAGUGUCUACCUCAUUAGCUUUCUUGAAAGAAUCUACUCCAAUAUCACGAAUCAUGUCUUCUAGAGUAUAAUUCAUAAAUUCAUCAUCUUCAACUGUAUGUGACAAAUGUCUCUUUUUCGUCACUUCACCAUGCCAUACUCAUUUCGUGUAAUUUUGAAUAAUUCCAUCACAACCAAAAUGAUUGAAUAUAACAUCCCUUGGAUGUUUUUUGUAUUAAACAAGCUUGAGAGUUGUAGGCAUAUUAUU